RNAcentral lists this ribosomal RNA (444 nucleotides) under uncultured bacterium. RNAcentral describes it as "partial 16S ribosomal RNA". It matches the Rfam family "Bacterial small subunit ribosomal RNA", at positions 338 to 795 of the family's 1533-position model. The record is from RNAcentral.
CCUACGGGUGACAGCAGUGGGGAAUAUUGGGCAAUGGAGGAAACUCUGACCCAGCAAUGCCGCGUGAAUGAAGAAGGUCUUCUGAUUUUAAAGUUCUUUAGUCAGGGAAGAAAUCAGUGACGGUACCUGAAUAAUACGCUCCGGCUAAAUACGUGCCAGCAGCCGCGGUAAUACGUAGGGAGCAAGCGUUGUUCGGAAUGACUGGGCGUAAAGGGUGCGUAGGCGGUUGUACAAGUUAGAAGUGAAAUACCCAGGGCUUAACUCGGGUGCUGCUUCUAAAACUGUAGGACUUGAGUGCAGUAGAGGUUAGUGGAAUUCGUAGUGUAGCGGUGGAAUGCGUAGAUAUUAGGAGGAACACCAGAGGCGAAGGCGGCUAACUGGAGUGUAACUGACGCUGAGGCACGAAAGUGUGGGGAGCAAACAGGAUUAGAUACCCUUGUAGUC